CGCGGGUAUGGCGGAAUUGGUAGACGCGGGCGACUCAAAAUCGCCAGCCGAAAGGCGUGGGGGUUCGAUCCCUCUACCCGCACC
RNAcentral lists this transfer RNA (84 nucleotides) under Methylorubrum aminovorans. RNAcentral describes it as "tRNA-Leu". It matches the Rfam family "tRNA". From Rfam's summary of the family: Transfer RNA (tRNA) molecules are approximately 80 nucleotides in length. The record is from RNAcentral. Lineage: Bacteria; Pseudomonadati; Pseudomonadota; Alphaproteobacteria; Hyphomicrobiales; Methylobacteriaceae.